This is a non-coding RNA of Plectropomus leopardus (leopard coralgrouper), 137 nucleotides long. Lineage: Eukaryota; Metazoa; Chordata; Actinopteri; Perciformes; Serranidae. The record is from RefSeq and is a predicted model, not a curated record.
CUUGGAAUGAAGGGAAUGAAAGGUGUCCAAGGCAGAAGAGGACCAAAGGGAGUGAGGGGCAAGCGUGGACCUCCAGGAAAACCAGGUGCACCAGGCAAGCGCAAGCCAACACAAAGACAGGGAUCAAAAAACAAGCC